UGGUAAUGCCGGAUGUUCCACAUGAUCGCAUGUGAUUGUGGGAAAGAUUCUAUCGGCGUGGGAUGGGGUCGCGUCCUAUCAGCUUGUUGGUGAGGUAACGGCUCACCAAGGCUUCGACGGGUAGCCGGCCUGAGAGGGCGACCGGCCACAUUGGGACUGAGAUACGGCCCAGACUCCUACGGGAGGCAGCAGUGGGGAAUAUUGCACAAUGGGCGCAAGCCUGAUGCAGCGACGCCGCGUGAGGGAUGGAGGCCUUCGGGUUGUAAACCUCUUUUGUUUGGGAGCAAGCCUUCGGGUGAGUGUACCUUUCGAAUAAGCGCCGGCUAACUACGUGCCAGCAGCCGCGGUAAUACGUAGGGCGCAAGCGUUAUCCGGAUUUAUUGGGCGUAAAGGGCUCGUAGGCGGCUCGUCGCGUCCGGUGUGAAAGUCCAUCGCUUAACGGUGGAUCUGCGCCGGGUACGGGCGGGCUGGAGUGCGGUAGGGGAGACUGGAAUUCCCGGUGUAACGGUGGAAUGUGUA
Molecule: ribosomal RNA, 519 nt
Filed under: Bifidobacterium bifidum
Lineage: Bacteria; Bacillati; Actinomycetota; Actinomycetes; Bifidobacteriales; Bifidobacteriaceae
Description: bacterial SSU rRNA
Rfam family: Bacterial small subunit ribosomal RNA
Source: RNAcentral